AAUCCACAUUUAACGUGAUGGAUUUUGUGUGUGUGUGUAUGAUCGAGUUUUUUUUGUUUGUUAUAGAUUUGUGUGUGUGUGUGCAGUCAUUGGUGACCGGGCUGAGACCACGCAUCAACUCACUGCACCCGAGGUGGACCCAGUCCAAUCUCAGGCCGCAACCGGACUCGACUCUCCACACACUCGCGUCGAUCUCCUCUCUCCUCCCUCCUCCACCUCGCGGCCACGUGUAAUUUCUGCCACGGAUCCCCUGCGAGGAGGGAGCAAGUAACCGCGCUCAUCAAUAUUCCUCGCGGGGUCGCGGCGCACUCCGCACGGCACACCCGGAGCCUCCUCAUCAUUCCGCACCACGCGCCUCGCUCCAGCCCCGACGUGCGGCGAGCGUCCCUGGCCCAUGCGUGGCACCGCGGCGGCGAGAUGUUAACUCCCUCGCCUGGAGGCGCAAACGCGGCCAGGGAGCGAGGAGGAAUGCGCGGGCGGGACUCCCCAAGUCCUCCACGCCCGCGCCAUUCACGGGCCUCGGCACAAUGAGCCCAACAAAGGGGUGGUGGUGGUGGAGGGGCAGCGGCAAUUCCCGGUCGCUCGACAGAUGCCAGCGCAUGACGCGUGAAGAGGCGACGUGUCGCUCUAUCCCACUUGUCUUCUUCAUCGUCGGCGUACAACGGGCUCUUCCUGAGCCUCGGGAAGUUGUCUCCAGUGCCCUCAUCCCCAAACAGCAGAGUUGACAUCUCGGUGGAGUCUGCGUGUUCUCUCUCCCCGUGGUCGCGUGGAUUUGCCACCCCCCCCCCCCC
This is a non-coding RNA of Petromyzon marinus (sea lamprey), 791 nucleotides long. The record is from RefSeq and is a predicted model, not a curated record. Lineage: Eukaryota; Metazoa; Chordata; Hyperoartia; Petromyzontiformes; Petromyzontidae.